RNAcentral lists this unclassified non-coding RNA (443 nucleotides) under Hevea brasiliensis (rubber tree). The record is from RNAcentral. Lineage: Eukaryota; Viridiplantae; Streptophyta; Magnoliopsida; Malpighiales; Euphorbiaceae.
UCUAAAGGCACGCGCUACACUGCAACUACCAUAUAUCACCAACCACCGUGUCCUCCCCCUUCUCUCUCUCAAAGAUUUCUCUCAUUUUCUCGUGACUCUUGCUCCUCCAGCAAAACGUGUUCUUGGGUUUCGCUUCUGGUUUUUAAUUUUCGCAUCGUCCGUUGCAGACUCUGUUUUUCUUUUUUCUAAUGGAUUAUGAGGCAAUGUGAGCUUGUUGAACCCGAGAAAUGUGUUAUUAUUUCUGUUAAUUUGGAAUGUGUUUUCUCAGGAAAUGAUUUGAAGCUUCUCUUGAUCUCUCUUCAGAGAUUCAGCUUCUGUUUCCAUUUUUCAGUGUCAUCGUUUUUGGAUGGGAAACUAUACACAUUUUUAUUUUGACUUGUUUGGCUUUUCAAGCUGGUUAUGCGAGCUCCCCAUUUUUCCAAUUGAUUGUUUAAUGGUGUUUG